GACGAACGCUGGCGGCGUGCUUGACACAUGCAAGUCGAGCGGUAAGGCCCUUUCGGGGGUACACGAGCGGCGAACGGGUGAGUAACACGUGGGUGACCUGCCCUCAGCUCUGGGAUAAGCCUGGGAAACUGGGUCUAAUACUGGAUAUGACUCCACGGUGCAUGUCGUGGGGUGGAAAGCCUUGUGCGGCUGAGGAUGGGCCCGCGGCCUAUCAGCUUGUUGGUGGGGGAUGGCCUACCAAGGCGACGACGGGUAGCCGGCCUGAGAGGGCGACCGGCCACACUGGGACUGAGACACGGCCCAGACUCCUACGGGAGGCAGCAGUGGGGAAUCUUGCGCAAUGGGCGAAAGCCUGACGCAGCGACGCCGCGUGAGGGAUGACGGCCU
Molecule: ribosomal RNA, 387 nt
Filed under: uncultured bacterium
Lineage: Bacteria
Description: bacterial SSU rRNA
Rfam family: Bacterial small subunit ribosomal RNA
Source: RNAcentral